AAAGGAAUUGACGGGGGCCCGCACAAGCAGCGGAGCAUGUGGCUUAAUUCGACGCAACGCGAAGAACCUUACCAAGGCUUGACAUAUACCGGAAAGCAUCAGAGAUGGUGCCCCCCUUGUGGUCGGUAUACAGGUGGUGCAUGGCUGUCGUCAGCUCGUGUCGUGAGAUGUUGGGUUAAGUCCCGCAACGAGCGCAACCCUUGUUCUGUGUUGCCAGCAUGCCUUUCGGGGUGAUGGGGACUCACAGGAGACUGCCGGGGUCAACUCGGAGGAAGGUGGGGACGACGUCAAGUCAUCAUGCCCCUUAUGUCUUGGGCUGCACACGUGCUACAAUGGCCGGUACAAUGAGCUGCGAUGCCGUGAGGCGGAGCGAAUCUCAAAAAGCCGGUCUCAGUUCGGAUUGGGGUCUGCAACUCGACCCCAUGAAGUCGGAGUUGCUAGUAAUCGCAGAUCAGCAUUGCUGCGGUGAAUACGUUCCCGGGCCUUGUACACACCG
RNAcentral lists this ribosomal RNA (496 nucleotides) under Streptomyces sp. H9. RNAcentral describes it as "bacterial SSU rRNA". It matches the Rfam family "Bacterial small subunit ribosomal RNA", at positions 903 to 1392 of the family's 1533-position model. The record is from RNAcentral. Lineage: Bacteria; Bacillati; Actinomycetota; Actinomycetes; Kitasatosporales; Streptomycetaceae.